This 1380-nucleotide long non-coding RNA is filed under the name Fragaria vesca (wild strawberry). RNAcentral describes it as "long non-coding RNA (FVES_LNC004903)". Lineage: Eukaryota; Viridiplantae; Streptophyta; Magnoliopsida; Rosales; Rosaceae. The record is from RNAcentral.
GGAAAGACAUAUAUUACCAGAAAUUAAUUCUGACACCGAAGAAGACUCAUCGGAUGAUUCCGAUUACGAGCCUUAGUUUUAAUUUAGAGGACGUAAUCCAUUAAUUUGUAAUAAAAAAGACAUUUUCCUUUAUAGUUUACAUAUGUUGAAUUCAUAUUUCAGUUAUUUUAUAUGAAUUUUGGUGAUAUAUGAUGAACAGGAAGUUAGUAUGGUUUACAUUAAACCUUCUGUUUUUUAAUGUAUUUUACUUUAGCCGACGAAAUACACCAUAAUUCGUCGGCCUAAACCAUCUUAGCCGACGAAUUAUAGUAUAUUUCGUCAGCUAAACCAUCUUAGCCCACGAAUUAUAGUAUAAUUCGUCGGGUAAGAUGAGGUUAGCCGAUGAAUACCCUAAUAUUUCGUUGGCUUUAUUUAUUUUUUAAUUUUUUUAUUACAUACUAUAGCCGACGAAUAAUAUAUUAGGGUAUUCGUCGGCUAAACCCUAAAAUUUUUUUAUUACAUACUAUAAUCCUAUCUUCGGUGGUUAUUUUUCGUAAAAUUUUUAUACGACUUCUUGCGUCUCAUCGGUUUGAAACUAUUUUCAGUUGGAGGUCAGGCUAAAAUACGUAAUUUAGACGGUCCAAUGACCUUUUCCGUGCGUUUAGGGGUUUAACUUACGGGAUUGACCGUCCGGAUCGAGCCCUUAACCUUGUCGGAUCAAGUUGAAUUUUUUCCCAUACAUGUAUUUUAUCAUGAUGGUCAGAUCUGACGGUCGGAUUUCCGUUUCUCAAGUUUGAUCAUCACAAUCAGAACAUGCCUGCUAAUGUUGUAUAACUUGUUUACCAAGUGUUUAAGUAAAUGUUCCGUUUCAAAAACAAACUAUACGUAGAACCUUCAAACGCAAAAAAGUUGUGAAAUAAGAUAUGACCAGAAUGGUGAAAUACGUCUACGGUUGAAAAAUCAUGGUAUUCCGGUAAAGUCUCGGUGCUGAUAGUUGUGGUCAAUGCAAUUUUCCAUUCUUUAUCCAUAUGGGUAGCCCUAUCUUCGGUGGUUAUUUUCCAUAAAAUUUUUACAUUUUUCCCUAAUUUAUGUUUAGGAGAUUAAUUAUCCCCAUUUUGGGGUACAAAUGCUUUGUUGAUAAUGAACUUGAAGCUUGCACUGUGCACUUGUUAUAUUUCAUGACUAGGUACUGCAUUCAUAGUGGCCUCACUUCAUAUUUGGGGGUGCUUUUGUCUUUUAGUGUUCAACUCUACCUUACAUUUUGAAGAAUCAAAGUUCAAUUUUAAAACUUUUAAUUCAUAAUUAUAAUUUUUUUUACUUAUAUUUUAAUAUAUAUAUAUAUUCUUCAUCGAAUUUUUAAACAUAAGAUACAAAAUACAAAAUAGAAAAACCUAUAUGAAA